UUUGUGCUCCAAGCCCGAUCAGCCUAGUCCUUCUGUUGACGUCACUUGCGAAGAGCAGGCGAUGCAAAACAAAGUGAAGUUGGCUGAAGUGGAAGCUGUAGCUGUUACCAGCGGUGAGGGAGUUACACAUCGCUGCCUGAGCUCCUGAGGCUGUGCGCUCCGCCCCUACUAGACAAGCAAGGAGGCAGCAAGAUGAGAAAAUGAUGACGGAGGACUUCUUAGUUCUUAAACUUCUAAGUCUGGGCAUGGAUUCAAGCAAUUGCAUGGAUUUAAACCAUUUUGUGGAUGGACCAAUGACUGGAAUCUAUUCAAUCACUUGGUCAUUGUAAUUAUGCCACAUAAACGCCUAGACGCCUAGACACGAUUGAUGAUAUGAUAAUUAUUUAUGGUUAACGAAAAACGAUUAGAAAUUUUGACACCAUUUGUCAUUUCAACCAGUUAUCCUUUUAUAUUACUUUAAUUCUCCCAUUUAUCUCCAUAUUAGUCCCCUUAGUUAUUGCAUCCGUUAGUUAUAUUACAUUGUAGCCAAAUUUGGCUUAAAAGGA
Molecule: long non-coding RNA, 545 nt
Organism: Daphnia pulicaria
Lineage: Eukaryota; Metazoa; Arthropoda; Branchiopoda; Diplostraca; Daphniidae
Exons: 2
Source: RefSeq, a predicted model, not a curated record